RNAcentral lists this ribosomal RNA (428 nucleotides) under uncultured bacterium. RNAcentral describes it as "bacterial SSU rRNA". It matches the Rfam family "Bacterial small subunit ribosomal RNA", at positions 355 to 774 of the family's 1533-position model. The record is from RNAcentral.
UGAGGAAUUUUGCGCAAUGGGGGAAACCCUGACGCAGCAACGCCGCGUGAGUGAAGAAGGCCCUUGGGUCGUAAAGCUCUGUCGACAGGGAAGAAAUUAUAAGUAUCCAAUAGGUGCUUAUAUUGACGGUACCUGUAGAGGAAGCACCGGCUAACUCCGUGCCAGCAGCCGCGGUAAUACGGGGGGUGCAAGCGUUAUUCGGAAUUAUUGGGCGUAAAGGGCGCGUAGGCGGUCUUGUCGGUCAGAUGUGAAAGCCCAGGGCUCAACCCUGGACGUGCAUUUGAAACAGCAAGACUUGAGUACGGGAGAGGAAAGCGGAAUUCCUGGUGUAGAGGUGAAAUUCGUAGAUAUCAGGAGGAACACCGAUGGCGAAGGCAGCUUUCUGGACCGAUACUGACGCUGAGGCGCGAAGGCGUGGGUAGCGAACA